GACGAACGCUGGCGGCGUGCUUAACACAUGCAAGUCGAACGAUGAACCCGGAGCUUGCUCCGGUGGAUUAGUGGCGAACGGGUGAGUAACACGUGAGUAACCUGCCCUUGACUCUGGGAUAACUGCGGGAAACUGUAGCUAAUACCGGAUACGACCCUCGGCGGCAUCGCCAGGGGGUGGAAAGAAUUUCGGUCAAGGAUGGACUCGCGGCCUAUCAGCUAGUUGGUGAGGUAACGGCUCACCAAGGCGACGACGGGUAGCCGGCCUGAGAGGGUGACCGGCCACACUGGGACUGAGACACGGCCCAGACUCCUACGGGAGGCAGCAGUGGGGAAUAUUGGACAAUGGGGGCAACCCUGAUCCAGCAAUGCCGCGUGAGGGAAGAAGGCCUUCGGGUUGUAAGCUCUUUUGUCAGGGAAGAAACACCGGCUCUAACACAGUCCGGGAAUGACGGUACCUGAAGAAUAAGCACCGGCUAAC
RNAcentral lists this ribosomal RNA (480 nucleotides) under uncultured bacterium. Its description in RNAcentral is "partial 16S ribosomal RNA". It matches the Rfam family "Bacterial small subunit ribosomal RNA", at positions 28 to 501 of the family's 1533-position model. The record is from RNAcentral.